GCUCACUUCGGCAGCACAUAUACUAAAAU
RNAcentral lists this small nuclear RNA (29 nucleotides) under Cervus elaphus hippelaphus. Lineage: Eukaryota; Metazoa; Chordata; Mammalia; Artiodactyla; Cervidae. The record is from RNAcentral.